This 407-nucleotide ribosomal RNA is filed under the name uncultured bacterium. RNAcentral's name for it is "bacterial SSU rRNA". It matches the Rfam family "Bacterial small subunit ribosomal RNA", at positions 354 to 777 of the family's 1533-position model. The record is from RNAcentral.
GUGGGGGAUAUUGCACAAUGGGGGAAACCCUGAUGCAGCGACGCCGCGUGAGUGAAGAAGUAUUUCGGUACGUAAAGCUCUAUCAGCAGGGAAGAAAAAUGACGGUACCUGACUAAGAAGCCCCGGCUAACUACGUGCCAGCAGCCGCGGUAAUACGUAGGGGGCAAGCGUUAUCCGGAUUUACUGGGUGUAAAGGGAGCGUAGACGGCUGUGCAAGUCUGAAGUGAAAUGCCGGGGCCCAACCCCGGAACUGCUUUGGAAACUGUACAGCUAGAGUGCAGGAGGGGUGAGCGGAAUUCCUAGUGUAGCGGUGAAAUGCGUAGAUAUUAGGAGGAACACCGGUGGCGAAGGCGGCUCACUGGACUGUAACUGACGUUGAGGCUCGAAAGCGUGGGGAGCAAACAGGA